GAUGAACGCUGGCGGCGUGCUUAACACAUGCAAGUCGAACGAAGCAUUUGCGACAGAUUUUUUCGGAAUGAAGUUGCUUAUGACUGAGUGGCGGACGGGUGAGUAACGCGUGGGUAACCUGCCUUGUACUGGGGGAUAGCAGCUGGAAACGGCUGGUAAUACCGCAUAAGCGCACAAUGUUGCAUGACAUGGUGUGAAAAACUCCGGUGGUAUAAGAUGGGCCCGCGUCUGAUUAGCUAGUUGGUGAGAUAACAGCCCACCAAGGCGACGAUCAGUAGCCGACCUGAGAGGGUGACCGGCAACAUUGGGACUGAGACACGGCCCAGACUCCUACGGGAGGCAGCAGUGGGGAAUAUUGCACAAUGGAGGAAACUCUGAUGCAGCGACGCCGCGUGAGUGAAGAAGUAAUUCGUUAUGUAAAGCUCUAUCAGCAGGGAAGAUAGUGACGGUACCUGACGAAGAAGCUCCGGCUAAAUACGUG
RNAcentral lists this ribosomal RNA (481 nucleotides) under uncultured bacterium. RNAcentral's name for it is "partial 16S ribosomal RNA". It matches the Rfam family "Bacterial small subunit ribosomal RNA", at positions 28 to 507 of the family's 1533-position model. The record is from RNAcentral.